AGAGUUUGAUCCUGGCUCAGAUUGAACGCUGGCGGCAUGCCUUACACAUGCAAGUCGAACGGCAGCACGGGUGCUUGCACCUGGUGGCGAGUGGCGAACGGGUGAGUAAUAUAUCGGAACGUACCUUAUCGUGGGGGAUAACGCAGCGAAAGCUGCGCUAAUACCGCAUACGCCCUGAGGGGGAAAGCGGGGGACCGUAAGGCCUCGCGCGAUUAGAGCGGCCGAUAUCUGAUUAGCUUGUUGGUGGGGUAAAAGCCCACCAAGGCGACGAUCAGUAGCUGGUCUGAGAGGACGAUCAGCCACACUGGGACUGAGACACGGCCCAGACUCCUACGGGAGGCAGCAGUGGGGAAUUUUGGACAAUGGGGGCAACCCUGAUCCAGCAAUGCCGCGUGAGUGAAGAAGGCCUUCGGGUUGUAAAGCUCUUUUGUCAGGGAAGAAACAGCAGCUCUAACACAGUCUGCGAAUGACGGUACCUGAAGAAUAAGCACCGGCUAACUACGUGCCAGCAGCCGCGGAAAUACGUAGGGUGCAAGCGUUAAUCGGAAUUACUGGGCGUAAAGCGUGCGCAGGCGGUUAUACAAGACAGGCGUGAAAUCCCCGGA
This 605-nucleotide ribosomal RNA is filed under the name uncultured freshwater bacterium. RNAcentral describes it as "bacterial SSU rRNA". It matches the Rfam family "Bacterial small subunit ribosomal RNA", at positions 8 to 607 of the family's 1533-position model. The record is from RNAcentral.